CCCGCUGAACUUAAGCAUAUCAAUAAGCGGAGGAAAAGAAACCAACAGGGAUUGCCUCAGUAACGGCGAGUGAAGCGGCAACAGCUCAAAUUUGAAAUCUGGCCCCUCGGGGUCCGAGUUGUAAUUUGUAGAAGAUGCUUCGGGUGUGGCUCCGGUCUAAGUUCCUUGGAACAGGACGUCAUAGAGGGUGAGAAUCCCGUAUGUGACUGGCAGCCUUCGCCCAUGUGAAGCUCUUUCGACGAGUCGGGUUGUUUGGGAAUGCAGCUCAAAAUGGGUGGUAAAUUUCAUCUAAAGCUAAAUAUUGGCCAGAGACCGAUAGCGCACAAGUAGAGUGAUCGAAAGAUGAAAAGCACUUUGGAAAGAGAGUUAAACAGUACGUGAAAUUGUUGAAAGGGAAGCGCUUGCAACCAGACUUGCGCGCGGCCGAUCAUCCGGGGUUCUCCCCGGUGCACUCGACCGCGCUCAGGCCAGCAUCGGUUUGGGCGGCUGGAUAAAGGCCCUGGGAAUGUGGCUCCCUUCGGGGAGUGUUAUAGCCCUGGGCGCAAUGCAGCCUGCCCGGACCGAGGACCGCGCUUCGGCUAGGAUGCUGGCGUAAUGGUUGUAAGCGACCCGUCUUGAAACACGG
This 625-nucleotide ribosomal RNA is filed under the name uncultured fungus. Its description in RNAcentral is "eukaryotic LSU rRNA". It matches the Rfam family "Eukaryotic large subunit ribosomal RNA", at positions 24 to 664 of the family's 3401-position model. Lineage: Eukaryota; Fungi. The record is from RNAcentral.